Molecule: ribosomal RNA, 253 nt
Filed under: uncultured bacterium
Lineage: Bacteria
Description: partial 16S ribosomal RNA
Rfam family: Bacterial small subunit ribosomal RNA
Source: RNAcentral
UACGUAGGGUGCAAGCGUUAAUCGGAAUUACUGGGCGUAAAGCGUGCGCAGGCGGUUAUGCAAGACAGAUGUGAAAUCCCCGGGCUUAACCUGGGAACCGCAUUUGUGACUGCAUAGCUGGAGUACGGCAGAGGGGGAUGGAAUUCCGCGUGUAGCAGUGAAAUGCGUAGAUAUGCGGAGGAGCACCGAUGGCGAAGGCAGUCCCCUGGGCCUGUACUGACGCUCAUGCACGAAAGCGUGGGGAGCAAACAGG